This 314-nucleotide ribosomal RNA is filed under the name Ophidiaster alexandri. Its description in RNAcentral is "partial 12S ribosomal RNA". The record is from RNAcentral. Lineage: Eukaryota; Metazoa; Echinodermata; Asteroidea; Valvatida; Ophidiasteridae.
UCUUUAGACCUUCCUGGAGGGGCUUGCCAUCAAAUCGAUAACCCACGAAAUACCUCACCAGUCCUUGAAAUGCCAACUUGUAUACCAUCGUCGUCAGUCUACCUCUCAAGAGAAGUAUACUCAAAGAAUCAAUCAUAAUAUUCUCAACGUCAGAUCAAGGUGCAGUAAAUGGACUGGGGAUAGGUGAGCCACAAUAAUUUAUCAGUUCUCAACAAAAACUAAUUUUGGAUCACAACAUGAAAACAAAAGUUUGAAACAGGAUUCAGCAGUAAUUCCUAAAAGAAACUAGGUAUGAAGCCAGCUCUAAAGUGCGC